UAGUACCUGCCCAGUGCGUAUUAUCUUGUUAACGGCCGCCUUAGCGUGAGGGUGCUAAGGUAGCGAAAUUCCUUGCCUUUUAAUUGUAGGCCAGCAUGAAUGGUUUGACGAGGGCCUCACUGUCUCUUAGUUUUAUGUUGAAAUUGUAGUGUAGGUGAAGAUACCUUCAUAAAAAAGUAAGACAAAAAGACCCCGUGCAACUUUGAAAAUUAAGCUAGAUUAAAUGGCAAAAGAUUUUUAGGUGGGGCGCCAAAAGAGGAAACUAUAACCUCUGCUGUUUAAGCUAAUUCUUACUGGAGUUGACCUGACUUAAGUCGAUCAAAGGAGAAGUUACGCCGGGGAUAACAGGCCAAUUCUUUAGUAAAGCUCGUAUUAACUAAAGGGCUUGGCACCUCGAUGUUGAAUCAGGGAUUAUAGCUUCAAGGCGUA
RNAcentral lists this ribosomal RNA (429 nucleotides) under Crassostrea tulipa. Its description in RNAcentral is "partial 16S ribosomal RNA". It matches the Rfam family "Bacterial large subunit ribosomal RNA", at positions 1853 to 2620 of the family's 2925-position model. Lineage: Eukaryota; Metazoa; Mollusca; Bivalvia; Ostreida; Ostreidae. The record is from RNAcentral.